Molecule: long non-coding RNA, 1022 nt
Organism: Brachypodium distachyon (stiff brome)
Lineage: Eukaryota; Viridiplantae; Streptophyta; Magnoliopsida; Poales; Poaceae
Exons: 2
Source: RefSeq, a predicted model, not a curated record
ACAAAAUAGCACACAUUUGGUUGACAUUUUGACAAUAUAUCAUUUUUUGGUUUUAUAGCCUAUUUUAUCAAAAUGGUCCACAUGUCAUUUUUCCCUGCCUCACAUUGCCCCCGCCUCAUUCAUGCUAGAUCGAUUGGAUUCAGAUGCUGGCUGGCUACGGCUUACACAGGAACAAGAUACAAACCAGACAGAACUGCUCGACGUGAUUGCCGCCGGCUUCGCACGAGAUCGCGCCGCGCCUCCGCAAGGGUGAGCAAAGGUUGUGAUCGUCCCUGUUGCCGCUGCAGGAGUUUUGAUCGCCGCCGUCGCCUUCGCCUCCGUAGGCUAUCGCACCGUUUCCGGCGCCGCACUCACGUGAUUGCCAUCGCCUCUGAGUGCAGCCUGAUGACAACAGCGUGCAUGGAGCCAGCGGCAAAUCGAUCGAAAUCUCUAGAAGUUCUCGCUGCUCCUGAUGGAUUAGAAGUUCUAGCUGCUCCUGACGGGUUAGAAGUUGAAGCUCCUGAUGGGUUAGUAUUUUCACGUACCUACAAGUAUUCAGAAAUUUGAUCCCAACAUUCAAUCUCCACACGGCAGCAGAAACCUACAGGGCUUCGAAUCAUCGAACUGCAAAAAUCAAUAUCACACAGCAGCAGAGCCUCUUGCAGCAGGGGACUCAGGCGGGCGCCCGACGGCGGCGGGCGCGGAGGGGAUCAGGCGCGCUUGCGGACGGCUCAGACGGGCGCCCGACAACGCUCAGCGGUCCGGUAAACGGCGGCCGUUAUUCUCUCUCCUUCUCCUCUUCUCUGGAAGCUGUACUGCUGUAGGAAAGUCUCAAGCUGUAGCAGCUUCUGAAUCCAAUCGAUCUAGCGUGAAGGGGUUGUGAGGCUGGAAAAAAUGACAUGUGGGACCAGGUCUAGAAAAUGGGCUAAAACAUAAAAAAAUGUUAUUUUGUCGACCUUAAGGAAAUGUGUGUUAUUUUGUCUAACAAAAAGAAAACGUGUGUUUAGAGCAACGCACGAAGAAAGACGUGGCAUUUUGUCAAA